GGACUACUGGGGUUUCUAAUCCUGUUUGAUCCCCACGCUGUCGCGCCUGAGCGUCAGAAACGAGCCAGUGAGCCGCCUUCGCCACCGGUGUUCUUCCCAAUAUCUACGAAUUUCACCUCUACACUGGGAAUUCCACUCACCUCUCUCGUCCUCAAGCUUCACAGUUUCAAUGGCAUUUCCGGAGUUGAGCUCCGGGCUUUCACCACUGACUUGAGAAGCCGCCUGCGCGCGCUUUACGCCCAGUAAUUCCGAACAACGCUAGCCCCCUUCGUAUUACCGCGGCUGCUGGCAC
This 292-nucleotide ribosomal RNA is filed under the name uncultured Alphaproteobacteria bacterium. RNAcentral describes it as "partial 16S ribosomal RNA". The record is from RNAcentral. Lineage: Bacteria; Pseudomonadati; Pseudomonadota; Alphaproteobacteria.